RNAcentral lists this signal recognition particle RNA (96 nucleotides) under Gemmatimonadota bacterium. Its description in RNAcentral is "Gemmatimonadetes bacterium (groundwater metagenome) signal recognition particle sRNA small type". It matches the Rfam family "Bacterial small signal recognition particle RNA". Rfam says of the family: The signal recognition particle (SRP) is a universally conserved ribonucleoprotein involved in the co-translational targeting of proteins to membranes. The record is from RNAcentral. Lineage: Bacteria; Pseudomonadati; Gemmatimonadota.
CCCAGGUCCCGGUGGGCGCCCGCGCGCCAACUCCGCCAGGUCCGAAAGGAAGCAACGGUACGCGAUGUCGUACGUCGCACCGUCAGGCCUGGGACA